UAAGUAACUCAAUAUUCAUUUUUACUUCAGUACAAAUGCAGCUUGACUACAGUGAAGCCAUUUAAUUUAACACAACUCUUCCCAGGGUCGUGUAGAGAAAACAGGUGAUUUUCCCUUCCAUUCCUCCUCUGAAAUAGUUGCUCUUAUCUUUUCUUCUCAAGUGGUUCCACUUGUGGAACUGCCUCAAAACAAAUCUGGGGCUAUGUGGAGCAGAAGGGAUGUAAAUGAUUUCCUCUGGGGACUUGUUGUCAGUAGGUAUUUGUAUCCUGGAAAAUUUGAAUGUAAUGAGAACUGAACUUGUCACCUUUGAAUCAUGGCUCCUUUUCAUUCUCUCUCCUAGAGCAUUUCACAGGAGAUAGCUUCAUGCUGAAUUAUAUUAUUUUGGUGCAUUUUUACCUAGCCUAAAUGAUCAUGGCUUAAAAAAAGUAAAUGGUGAUAUUUGUAUGACUUAAGUGCCCAGCACACCUAAAGGCAGUAGGUCAUGUUAUGUUAUAGUCGUGUUACAGCAUAAUGAAAUUAGCCUGUAAGGCAGUGAUAAAUGAAAUGGAGGUGAAUUCAAAAGGAGUAGUUUAAUUUUUCUGUUUUAUUGACUUUUUCUUCACCUCUCCAGUCUUCUACUUUACUGUUUCUCUCCCUUUUCUUAGUAUUUAAACCCCUCCUGUCUUCCCUGAUUUUUGAGUGAAUUCUAUUCUUAAAAAAAAAUUAAACAUGAAUUACCUGUGGUAAAAUGUAGCAUUUGAAGAAGACCUCUCUCCUGCCAACUUGGAGAUGUGUGGUCCCACUGUGUUUUUGGUGUGUGUUUAUUUAAAUAUUAAAUUACCAACUGAAAGCUAAUAAUACUGUAAGAAAAGUAUAAUUAUGAAGGUAAAUCUGUAUCAAAAAUUGUGUGGUGUACCUCAAGGUCAAAUAUGAUUAUUAGUGGAUAGUCUAUUUGAUAAUUACCCAUUCAUAGAUUUGUACAUAAAGUAGUGUUUUCAAAAUUGUGUAUUUUUAAAAUUCAUUCAGUUUCCCACAAAGUAUAAUCCACUAGAUCAUAAACAAAAUAACCUACUUCGGUAUAAUAGAACCACACCUGUAUGGAAAUAACUGAAAUGCACCAAAAUAGAAAUAUAAUAGUCUUUGUGCCAAAUAUUGUAAUGUAAUGUCUGCCGAGUCCUGAGUCCGUGGUUUUAUUUUCCCUUAGUACUCACUCCUGCUGAGCUCUAUGCAUUUGACAGCCACCUCUCUACCCUGUGGCCUUUGGCAGUGGCAGUGAGGGCAAUGAUGAUGCUACAAGUUGGCACACAGGCUUGGUGGGGCUGAGGACAUCCUUAUAGAGAAAGACAGCUGACAUGGAGUGUUACUGGCCUUGGAGGAUAUCUGCAGAAGUGUUGGAGAGCAGGCAGGGUGGAGCAUCAUGCUAGGAAAGAGAAGGGCUUGGGCCAGGAGGAUCACAGUGAAGGCCACCCAUAUCUAGCUUCUAAUCAUAGAGAUUUGUGUGGCCACAGUAGGCCCUUGUGCGAAGGCGUUAGAGAGGUGAAGGGCCACGGGUCACUCAUCAGGCACAAUCUCACUGGAUAAAUGAGGGAUUUAAUCAUUUAAUCACUUCUGAUGAAUGAAGUAUUCAUUUUCCCAUCAAAUUAAAUAACUCAUCUCCAGUAUUCCAAUGCAGUUUGGAUAUCCAUAUAUAUUUUCUUAAUGUAAACUCAGUUAUGUUUUAACCAGCAUGCAUUAUUGGUAUAAAAUUCUUCUUAUAGCAAUACAAUUUUAAACAUGUUAUACAUAGCAGCUAAUAAGUUAAAAUGAUACUAUAUAGUGAUUUAAAUGAUUCAUAUGGCUAAUGAUUAGCAACUUUUCUUGGAGAUUUAUACAAAUUUAUGACUUGGUCUCCAUUUCAAUUUAUUGUGUACAACAGUUAGUUUGUUUUAGUCAUUUUGAACAGUUAUUUCUUUGAGCCCAUGGCCACUGGUCAGAUAACAAGCUUACAACUAUUCUCUUCCUGAAGAUAACAGAUUCCUUUGGGACUUGUAGUCACACAUGUAAAGUAUGUGUUACGAGCCUGUACUGUGAAGGACAGUGUGUUUCUUGCUUCGCAUCCUGUUUUUUAAUACACACGUUAUUAUUGUGCUCAUUCUUAUGUUAGCUGUUUUGUUUUUUAGGUUGUAUUUAAAUUGCAUAGUCUCCAUUGCACUCAUUCCGUAAAUUUUUAUUUUCCCCAACAUUUUGCGACCUGAACUUCUUGCUUCCUCAGUGCUGCACGUGAGGUGGCCUUUGCUUUAUGGGAAAACUCUGCCGUUUUGCCUUGUCCUGGCUCGCUGUCACAGCCUGCUGCCCAUUCAUCCCCUCUUGCAUACCUGCCAGGGAUCAUUCCUGGAGGGACAGGUGUAGCUGUCAGAUCCCAGUGAGACCUUUCUCCCAGUUAUUGUUUUGUUUGUGAUCCUUGGGGAGAGUAGUGACCGGCUACAGCCUUUUCUCAAGGAGAAGCCACAUGGUGCUUCAAAAGGAAAGGCUUUUGCAUACUGGGGCCCGUGACAAGCAGGAGAGGCUGGCACCGGAGUCUUGAGUGAACGCUUUGACACACCGAGUCACAGCCCAUUAUCACUUGUUCUGGUGUCAAAACAAUACAGCAGUUUGAACUGCAGCUCAGCUCACUCCUGCUGUCACACAAGCUCCCUCCUAAGUCAUUAGAGUGCUGGCAUGGACUCUUUCUGGAUCAGUCAGAGAUGCAUUAGGAGAGGGGGAAGUAUUUAUUAAUUCAAUUUAAUAAGUGACUAUUAAUCAUCUGCUGUGUAUUGGGCAUUGCCCUGGGGCAGAGUGGAUGGGAAAAGAGGAGCAUUCCCAUACCAGUAUGGCAAGAUCCCCGACCCAAAUGUACCCUUGCCCAGGACAACACGCAAGUACGGUGGCUAUCGUGAAAACAAAAUUGCUUUGAAAAUUCAAAAGAGGGAGAAAUCUCAUCAGAUUGAAAAGAUCAGUUUAGACGGAUGAGGGAGGUGAUGUGUGAGAGGGGCCUUGACAAGACUGAAAGAUUUUGAUGGGCAGAGAGAAGGUGAGACAGACAGUUGGCAGCGAGUUCUGCUUGCCUGGUAUGCACGGUAUGUUUAAGAGGUAUCAGGACUCAAGAAUCUAUUGUAAAGUACCUUGGUUGCUAAGCUAAGAAGUUAAUGUUUUAUUUAGUGGUCUCCUGCUUGAGACCACCACUGAAAGGGUUUGAGUCAGUGGAGUGAAAUGUUAGGAAUAUGUCCGUCCUUAUUAAAAUGUUAGCUUAGGUAUUAAUCUGUUAAGACUGCAAGUGAUUAUAUGUAGCAAUAACUCUACAACAGUGGCUUAACCAAACAGGGAUUUUAUUUGUCUCGUAUAGGUGACCAGUGCAGCAUCUUCACAAUGCCACCAGGGGCCUGGGCUCAGGCUCUGGUCUUCCUGACAUCUCUUCUUAUGAGUGAAAAGUGGCUGCUGGAUCUCCAGAUAUCCGGUUCAUAUUCCAGGCAGGAAGAGGGUAGGGAAAGAAGAGCAGAAGGCCAAAUGCCUCUCAGGAAGCUCUGCCUUUAUUAUUCUGGAACGGACAGCCUUCCUUAAGACUUGGUCUUUAUGUGAGUCUCAAGACUAGAGAGCCUGGGAAAUCAAGUUUUUCAUUUGACACAAUGCUGCUCA
Long non-coding RNA from Sapajus apella (tufted capuchin), 3630 nucleotides. RefSeq lists it as uncharacterized. The transcript is spliced from 3 exons. The record is from RefSeq and is a predicted model, not a curated record. NCBI's taxonomy places the organism in Eukaryota, Metazoa, Chordata, Mammalia, Primates, Cebidae.